Long non-coding RNA from Mus caroli (Ryukyu mouse), 1120 nucleotides. RefSeq lists it as uncharacterized. NCBI's taxonomy places the organism in Eukaryota, Metazoa, Chordata, Mammalia, Rodentia, Muridae. The record is from RefSeq and is a predicted model, not a curated record.
GGCUGAUGAGCUGAAGGCUGAGAAGACAAAAGUGUGGGUGUUAGAUGGGUGGUAGCGGGCUAGGGUGUGGAGACAGAAGCAGACGUCCUGGAGUGUGAUCUAGUGACCCAGAGAUAGGGAGAAACACGGGAAAUGAGUGGACAACGACCCUUAGCUUUCCUGCCUCCUACCAAGGGUGGCCCUGAGUCUUCAGGUGGCUUCUUCGAAAAGAAAAAGUUCCUGGACCCUCAGCAACUGAAGCAUGAAGACAGCUUGAGCCCAGUUCCCCAAACGAAGCCCUCUGGUGUCUGCUGGGAUCUGAGCAGGUGGCUAACUUUCAGUGGAGAUAUUCUCAGGCCAGCAGGCAGGCUGCGGACUCAGAGUCAGGUCGUGGAAUCCAGGCAAGCUCCUUCACCUGCUGGACACCUGGCCUCCCCAUGGCUGGUAUUGUGGAACAGCCUCAGCCUGCCUGGGACUUAGGAUGCUCCUGUCCCAACCUCCAAAGUGUUGGGAUGACAGGUGGGGAUGAAGCAACCCAGGGCCUGUGGCAGAGGACAAGAGCUUUGUUCUUCAGGGAUGAGCUCUGGAUCUCACUUCCCUCCUACCCUGACAGGAAGCCCAUCCCUGGAGCCCUCUUCCUGCCCUCUGCCUUCCUAUAUCCAAGGGGCCCUUGGGUCUUAUCACUGAAUCCCAGCCACAGUAGCAGGAAAGACACCUGUUUCCGGAGUAGAAGGGGGCCAGUCCCUGUGCUGCAGCAAGGGGGUCACUGAGGGGAGGGAAAAUGAGUCCCACAUUAGGUACCUACUAUUUGCACAAGGAGACACACACACACCACCAGGGCUCUGGAUCUGAAGCUCCUUCUCUGGUCUGGUUAGGAUGUGGAGGGUUUGCUUCCCCAGCCUGAGAGCUUCCUGAGACGGGGCUCGCAUGGAGCCUUGGGUUUGGUGAAAGGCAAAUAACUUAGCAGGAUGUUUUAGAAAUAGUGUUCUGGGUGCAGUGGACACAUCCUAGCACCAAGGAGACCUGGGCAGGAGGAUCAGGAGUUAAAGGGCCACUCUUGGAUACUUACUAAGUUUCAGAUCAGCCUGGAGUACAUGAAACCUUGUCUGUAAAUAAAGUUAACCCCAGCAUUUGGAACACA